GUCAACGGUCACGCCACCCUGAACACGUCUGAUCUUGUCUGAUCUUGGAACCGAGACAGGGUUGGGCCUGAUUAGUACCUGGGUGGGAGAGAUAUCAGGAGUGCUGACA
Molecule: ribosomal RNA, 109 nt
Filed under: Peromyscus maniculatus bairdii (prairie deer mouse)
Lineage: Eukaryota; Metazoa; Chordata; Mammalia; Rodentia; Cricetidae
Source: RNAcentral